GAGUUUGAUCCUGGCUCAGAACGAACGCUGGCGGCGUACUUAACACAUGCAAGUCGGACGAGAAAGAGACUUCGGUCUCUGAGUACAGUGGCGCACGGGUGCGUAACACGUAAGUAAUCUACCCCAACCCUAGGGAUAACUCUCCGAAAGGAGAGCUAAUACUGGAUAGUGUCCUUGAAGUGGAGACUGCAAGGGGAAAACAAGCCUCUGUUGCAUGCUUGCGGUUUGGGAUGAGCUUGCGGCCCAUUAGCUUGUUGGUAGGGUAAUGGCCUACCAAGGCGACGAUGGGUAGCUGGUCUGAGAGGAUGAUCAGCCACACUGGGACUGAGACACGGCCCAGACUCCUACGGGAGGCAGCAGUGGGGAAUAUUGGACAAUGGGGGCAACCCUGAUCCAGCCAUGCCGCGUGAGUGAAGAAGGCCUUCGGUUGU
Molecule: ribosomal RNA, 431 nt
Filed under: uncultured delta proteobacterium
Lineage: Bacteria; Deltaproteobacteria
Description: bacterial SSU rRNA
Rfam family: Bacterial small subunit ribosomal RNA
Source: RNAcentral